Molecule: long non-coding RNA, 335 nt
Filed under: Sorghum bicolor (sorghum)
Lineage: Eukaryota; Viridiplantae; Streptophyta; Magnoliopsida; Poales; Poaceae
Description: long non-coding RNA (SBIC_LNC012276)
Source: RNAcentral
UUUCAUACAGGGAUAAGUGUCACAUAAAAGUUAGAUAAAGUAUGAAUGGUGACAAAGAUAAUUAAUCAGAUCAGCAUAACUUAGCCACAUAUAAAUAUGAUAAGCACCUCAACAGAUAUUGUAGCAAGUCAUUAGCAUGGAAUUAGGACGAACUACAAAAAUAUUCCUAAGUUAUUCUUAACUAAAAAGUCUAGCAUAUCAUAGUUAGUGCAAUUAUACUUGGCAAUCAUUGCGAGACAGGACUACGCCCAUACAUAGUGAUAUUAUCAAGGAAUAUGAGAAACAUAGCAAUCACUCCCCUGUAAUAAUGUUGCUCUGCCAGCCCAAUGCAUGAG